CACUUAGUUAGGGCUACACCUACUGAAAAGCACCACCACCGUCUCAAGCUAUCUGGCAACGAUUGUACUUUCUUGAAAAAUGCCAUUGUCCCAUCUGUUUGAAUGAACGAAACUGUAGUGUUGGUGCGUUGUUAUUAUUUGAGCAGUGCUAAUGACAAGGGAAUUUAAACGAAUAUUUGUUUAUUUUUAAAUGAUUGAAUGCCGUGGUUUCGAUAGAUAGAAUAUGUAUUAUGUAUAUUCUAAAAGAUUUUUAAUUUUUAUAAUAAAAUGUCAAGAAAUUAUCAUUGCAAAAUUCUAAAUAUAUUAUUGUAAAUUUUAAGUUGGUGGUUUAAAAGGAUAGUAAGUAAAAGUAAUAGUUUCAGCACAUAAGACGGGUUAGUUAUCUAAAGGGUCAGACGGUAGAAGUUGAUCAUGAUGUAAUGCAAAGAUUCAGUUCCAUUAACUAUAAUAGUAUACUCCAACGGAAAUACUAUGGUGACAAGAGAUCAAUACUAAGUUAAAAUUACAUUAUACAAUAUUUAUUUAUUUAUUUUCAAAUAAAAGUCGUUCCAAUAC
Aphis gossypii (cotton aphid) is the source of this 555-nucleotide long non-coding RNA. RefSeq lists it as uncharacterized. The transcript has 2 exons. The record is from RefSeq and is a predicted model, not a curated record. Lineage: Eukaryota; Metazoa; Arthropoda; Insecta; Hemiptera; Aphididae.